This 416-nucleotide ribosomal RNA is filed under the name uncultured bacterium. Its description in RNAcentral is "bacterial SSU rRNA". It matches the Rfam family "Bacterial small subunit ribosomal RNA", at positions 358 to 772 of the family's 1533-position model. The record is from RNAcentral.
GGAAUAUUGGUCAAUGGGUGAGAGCAUGAACCAGCCAUGCCGCGUGCAGGAAGAAGGCCUUCUGGGUUGUAAACUGCUUUUGCCAGGGGAUAAAAUGACCUUGCGAGGUUAAUUGAAGGUACCUGGUGAAUAAGCUACGGCUAACUACGUGCCAGCAGCCGCGGUAAUACGUAGGUGGCAAGCGUUGUCCGGAUUUAUUGGGUUUAAAGGGUGCGUAGGCGGCCCUGUAAGUCAGUGCUGAAAUAUUCCAGCUCAACUGGGAGGGUGGCAUUGAUACUGUGGGGCUAGAGUACAGAUGAGGUAGGCGGAAUUGACGGUGUAGCGGUGAAAUGCUUAGAUAUCGUCAAGAACACCUAUAGCGAAGGCAGCUUACUAGGCUGUAACUGACGCUGAGGCACGAAAGUGUGGGGAUCAAA